Molecule: long non-coding RNA, 2058 nt
Organism: Phragmites australis (common reed)
Lineage: Eukaryota; Viridiplantae; Streptophyta; Magnoliopsida; Poales; Poaceae
Exons: 2
Source: RefSeq, a predicted model, not a curated record
CUGGAAAAUUUUCUUGUUGUCAAUUCAUUUUCUUGUUUCUCCAGCAAAUUGCGGGAGAUGAAAAAUUGUGCAGAAUGUUUCUCUUAAAGAAAAAAAAGAAAUGCAUGGAGUGGGUCAAGCCAACCUAGACCCAGGCUGGCCAUUCACAGUUGGCCCAAGGCCCAGCCGCUAGCUCCUCCCCUUCCCCUAGCCGACCUCCACCCUUUCCCUAACCCUAGCUGCCUUAACCCACCCCCUCUCUCCCUCCCCUGGUCGCAGCCCCCUGUCCAGGCAUCCCUCCCUCUCCCUCUCUUCUGCUCUUGCAACAAAAAGGAAAAAAAAGAGAGCAGGACUCAAGGGAAGAAGGAUAGGGUGGAUUCACAGCUUUUUCUCAUGGUUCCUCACUGUUUCCUAAGGAUACCCUAGGUCGUGUUGCACUGAUGCAUAUAUGUCUUGUCUUCAUCGUCGGUAAAGGCAAGUGAGCGUGGCGGUUGUUGCCACAAUUUUAACUUGUUAUUUUUGCUACCUCCACUUAUAAUAAUGCAGCACACAAGAUUAUACUCAUUAAUUUGGAUGAUUAUACUUACUUGCUCUGUAUCUGUGAAUUUGGCUUAGUCUUUUGGUUAUAGUUGAUGGAGUCUAUGUAAUAGUGAUGAUGUCUUGUCGGUUUAGUCAUUUCUAGCACAACCUCAUAUUAUGUCUAAUGGUUAGUUUACUUGAGGAUCAUGAUGUCGGUUAUGUAGAAGCUUAUAGAAGAGGACAUGCUUUGACUUGUAGGAGGGUAUUUAAUUCUUUUUGGAGGGCUGUUUCAUAUGUCUAUAACUAGUUAGAAUAUAACCUUUUGAAACCUUAUGCAUGUUAAAUGAUAAGUUAGCAGAAGCAUAUUUAUUAUCUUUCUAUGCCCUAUAUAGAAUUAAACUUGUAAUAUGUGGUUAUGAAAUGGGGUAGACCCUGCUCUUUUAAAGCUAGUUUAAUGUGGCUAUAUGUGUAUGUCCUUGUCCUCUGCACUUUAACAGGAAGAAGGAAUUGUGGAUAUGUGUGGAUGGAAGUGGCUUAUACUAAUUAUGUAGAAAAUGCUUUUAUGUUGAUGUAUGUUCAUGGUUGUGUACUAUGCAAUUUAUAUUUUGGCAUUUGAAGUAUAUCAUGUGCAUUGCACUGCAUUGCAUUUCAUAUGCAUUGGAAGUUGUCGUAAAGAUCACGACCGUACCGGUACACAUCGUACGUUGCCCGAGGAGGGGUGCGAUGUAAAAGAAGACAUGUCAUUGCAUUCAUAUGCAUGUCAUAUGGAAUUGAUUGUUGGAUAUAUUGAAGUUGCAUUGGAGGUCAUUAUGAGAAGUGACGCUUCUCCGUGGAUAUGUUCAUUGUGGUAUGACUUGUGAAUUUAUGAAGGUAUUGAAGUCCUAUGUGAAUUUGCAUUGUAUAGUAUCUAUAUGCAUCAUAUUGUGUUACAGUAAUCUUUCAUAUUCAAUUUGGAUGUGAUGAAUGGUAUGAAAAUGUUUGAGUAAUUUUACUAAUUGUAGAAGGUAUGUGGUUGCGAGUGAGUUAUCCUUAAAACUGUCAUUUAUUAUUAAUGUGGCUUGAACUCUAUUCAUGAUGUCUUGGAUGAUUAUAUUAUCUUACAAGUCCUAUUUAACUCUUAGAAGUUGAAAUCAUUUAUUGAUGUUAAUAUCAUGUCAUAUGGGAUAGAUAGUUUUUUUUUCUAUCUUACUUAUGUUAUAGUUAUGUUUUCUAUGAACACGUUCUUAUUGAUCUUCUUUUAGAGGUAACUAUUUAACUUGCUUAAAAAUGAACAUGAUGAAUAAUGCCAUGUCUUUUAUACAUGUUUAAGUUUUAAAGUGAUGUUUUAAAUACUGUGGUUUAAAUAGCUUGUUAAAGUGGUUCGCUUGCUGAGAUUACCCAAUCUCACUUUUGCAAUAUUCCUCCCCAGGUUGUUCUACUUGAAGCUAGCAUAGAGGGAAGGGAUUAGAAGCACAUCUUGCACUUCAUGUAUUCACUUAAUAUUACCGAGUUGUAAUAAUAAAUUAUGUUUAGUCGUUAGAGUCGUGUGUUUGAGGUUUACAGUGUGGUUGUGAUAUUCUG